Molecule: ribosomal RNA, 466 nt
Filed under: uncultured bacterium
Lineage: Bacteria
Description: partial 16S ribosomal RNA
Rfam family: Bacterial small subunit ribosomal RNA
Source: RNAcentral
GAUGAACGCUGGCGGCGUGCUUAACACAUGCAAGUCGAACGGAAAGGUCCAAGCUUGCUUGGGUACUCGAGUGGCGAACGGGUGAGUAACACGUGGGUGAUCUGCCCUGCACUUCGGGAUAAGCCUGGGAAACUGGGUCUAAUACCGGAUAGGACCACAUUUUGGAUGGUGUGGUGGAAAGUUUUUCGGUGUGGGAUGAGCUCGCGGCCUAUCAGCUUGUUGGUGGGGUAAUGGCCUACCAAGGCGUCGACGGGUAGCCGGCCUGAGAGGGUGUACGGCCACAUUGGGACUGAGAUACGGCCCAGACUCCUACGGGAGGCAGCAGUGGGGAAUAUUGCACAAUGGGCGCAAGCCUGAUGCAGCGACGCCGCGUGGGGGAUGACGGCCUUCGGGUUGUAAACUCCUUUCGCUAGGGACGAAGCGUUAUGUGACGGUACCUGGAGAAGAAGCACCGGCUAACUACGUG